UAGAAUUUGGUGUAAUUGGGGGCACGAAGAGUUUUGGAUUCUUAGGAGUAGGUUCGUUUCCUUUAGUUCUAG
This 72-nucleotide transfer RNA is filed under the name Bos indicus (zebu cattle). RNAcentral's name for it is "tRNA-Gln". It matches the Rfam family "tRNA". From Rfam's summary of the family: Transfer RNA (tRNA) molecules are approximately 80 nucleotides in length. Their secondary structure includes four short double-helical elements and three loops (D, anti-codon, and T loops). Lineage: Eukaryota; Metazoa; Chordata; Mammalia; Artiodactyla; Bovidae. The record is from RNAcentral.